AUGCAACAAGCUGGGAAAAUGCUGGGGUGUCUAGGGCAAGCCUCCCACCCCACCCUCCACGGCUCCUCCGUCUUUAGGCUGUCUUAAGUUAACUGUGUUGUAGAAAGGGGGUAUUUAAUGGAGAAGCCAGAGGAAAGAGAGUAGCCCAGGGAGGGAGGGAAUGGAACACUCAAACAAAUGCAAACGAAUCCUCUUUAGCAGAUUCCAGUCUACACUCAGCUAACCAAACAGGAGCAGCUGGCCCUCAUGACACAGCAGGACAGUCUCCAUUACUGUCAGAUGGCCAAAACAACCCACCCUUGCCAAUGCUCAGACUAGGAAUGUAAGAGGCUAACUGGUGCCAGGCGGUGGAUCCAAUGCCUUUAAUCCCAGCAUUCAGGAAGCAGAGACAGGUGAGUCUCUUGAGUUCGAGGCCAGCCCGCUCUACAGAGUGAGUUCCAGGACACCACCAGAGCUAUGUGGGGAAACCAUGUCUGGGGGCAGGGGUAACAGGUGCAUUAUUACUUCCUACGUUGGUCUUAUAGGAGCCAAAGGAGCUUCCCACAGCCCAAGGUUAGAGAAGAGGAAGAUGCUUUGCUAUGGCUGAAAAAGGGCAAAAAAAAAAAAAAAAAGUAUUCCAUUGGUUGCUGGCAGCCCUCUUGCAAGCAUGAGGGAGCCCGGUGGAAGGCGGUCAGCAGGAUCACCUAGCUCUUCAGAUACUGACUGAGACUGCAGGUUCCAUAGAGGGCACCCUCCCAGAUCUUUAGCCCCUUGUAAAACCUGAAGCUGCAACUUCAGGAUUUUUAUUGGGAGCCGAAAGAACGGGCUCUGAGUCACAGUUCUGGCCCAGCGCGGAGACGUCUCAGAACUGCUUUAAGUGUCAUUAAUAGGUAACUGUCUAAAUCCUACAAGAGCCUUAUCCAGCAGUGCGCUUAUCGGUAAAGAACACAGACCAGGAUUAUCCCUCCCCGAAACAGUGGACGCAGAUGGGCUGGUCAGUCCCCUGAACAGAAUGCCAACCUGGUGGGUUCUGGGGAGUCUAGGGACUGUGCAGGGCCUGUCUGAAGUGUAGGUGGGUCCCUUGAUCCCCUUGUACCCCUGGAGAAUGUUUUCCCCUUUGCUCUGUGAUAUACCUGCCUCUCUUCUACACUACAAUUUGAGCCCUUUCAACUGAGUUCACAAGAACUGGGGUCGAGCCAAGGGCAGCUCAGCCUUGGAUCCCAGCACUAAUGCUCAGUGAGGGGAGAGAGGUAGAGAGGCUGUGUCCAUCCGGGCCCCUUCCCCUGUCAUCUCUGGCACAUGGGUUCUCAAUCUGCGCUCCUUCUGAUAGGACAGGAAAAGGACACUUGGCCCAGUUUUGUCCAAUUAGAUCUUUCAGGCCAGAGACUUGACUCCAGGCAUGAACCCCACCACAGGACGGCAAAGGACUGAUUGAUUGGUUAGUUGUGAGCCUGGUGUUGUGUACUGGAGCUAAUGAAAAGUCACCUGCCAGGCGCUGGUGUGGCACUUUGUCACUAACACACAGUAUCAAUAUGGAGUUGACUGUUUUUCUUUUCUUUCUUUCCUUUCGAGACGGGGGUCUUGCUAUUAGCUUGGGCUAUCCUGGAACUCACUCUGGAGACCAGGCUGGCUUUGAACUCACAGAGGUCCACCUGCCUCUGCCUCCAGACUGUUGGGCUUAAAGGGGUGCCUCAGCAAGCCAGCUGAAAGGGGUUUUGAGAGAGCAGCUAUAACUACUAAAGGAGGCAGCCUAGAGUACAUUAGUUUACCAUUUUUGUUUGUGUGUUUUGAGGCAGGGUCUCAUGAUGUAGACCAGGCUGACCUCAAACACACAGAGAUCUGCCUUCCUCUGAGUGCUCAGACCAAACAUGUGCGCCAGCACGCUGCGCUCAUGCCCCCAUGGUAUCUCCUUAGGUCAGACUCCUGCUUGUCUUGUCAGUGUGUUGAUCCCUUAGGACACCGUCCAUCUGGCUGAGCUCAGGGCCUGGAAGUCUGAAGAUGCAAAACUGAGACUGAGGGGGCAGAUAAAGGUCAGCUCCCACAAGGCACUGCUCCAGACUGCCACCCCCACCCUCCACCUCCAGCCCUGACAGAGAGACAUGAAGGUCUCCCUUUCACCCUAAACCUGCAGCCUCUUUGGAUACCAGGAACAGCAGGACACACGGACAAGUCAGCCUCUAACCCAAAUCUUCCUCUAAGCCAACCGAAAGCUUCCAUCUGGAGGUAAACCUGGGGUCACCGAACCCUUUUAUCUCUUCUUCCCAGGUGGCCACACUGACUGACACAAAGACAUUGUCUCUGUCUUUGUCCCUUCCUCUUUCUAAUUGGCAUGUUGGGACAGGCAGCCAAGUAGAGCCCUGAUUCACCCCAGCUUUCUCCAAAAACUCACUAGCAACCACACCGUCACAUUCCUCUGCUCAUCUUCUCUAUGACAAACAGGUGACCUUCUUGUGUCCUGAACUGCAGGGACUCUGUCCAGAGGGCAGUGAUGGGGACUAGUCCGGGAGGGAAGCCAGCAUUCAAUUCAAUUUGGCACCACACUGUGGUCCAUGACCCUGCAAGACACUGGGGACACCUGGCCUCCAUCUGGAGGUGGCAGGAGGAACGAGAUGCCCCAGGCUGAAGCUAUUCUCUCCUCCCUUCUCCCUUCCCUUCUUUCUCCUUUCUCCUGGGAUGGCACGGGAAGACCUUGAAAACUACAACGUUUAAAAACUACAGCUCCCAGGCUCCUUUGCAGAAGCAGGCCUCCAAAGAAGAUUAAGCGUUAAUACAUCUUGUCAGUUUAGUGAGUUCAGCUGAAGCCCCAAGACCUCAACAGUCAGGACAAGUGUCUCCCAACGCCCCCAUCCCCAACUCCUGCUGUACCUCUUCGUUGCUACCAGGGAAUUGGGCCCUGAACCAGCUCUAGAAGGGCUUGACUUCCUCCCAGCCUCUCCAGCUAUUUAGGAUCUGAUGGGACAGCCAGGGCCAGUCUGUUUCCCUGAUGGGACCAGGAUGAGCCACUCCACACAAAUCAGGCAGCGGCUCAGCCCGUGGCCUGCAUGCCUUCUCCUUCCUCCUCCUAAAUCCCCUGAGAGCAGGUUCUGAGAAAGUUCCUGAUUUGUGAUCCCAUCCAUCAGUCCUGGUUAAAUGAUUUUUUUUUCUUUUCCUUGUUCGUUGUUUUUUUUUCCCCCCAGAGCAGAGACCUGAACCCAGAGCUUAGGGCAAGCACCCUACCACUGAGCUAAAACUCCAAACCCACACUUUUCUUUCUUCCUUCCUUCCCUCCUUUCUUUUUUUUUUUAAAGAUUUAUUUUAUGUAUAUGAGUGUGCUGUCUUCAGACACACCAGAAGAGGGCAUCGGAUCCCAUUACAGAUGGUUGUGAGCCACCAUGUGGUUGCUGGGAUUUGAACUCAGGACCUCUGGAAGAACAACCAGUGUUCUUAACCACUGAGCCAUCUCGCUAGCCACACACCUUUCUUUUUGAGACAGUUUUUCCCUGAGACCUGGGGCUAGCCCCCGUCGAACUACUUGCAAUUCACUCAGUUAAGAGCACCUCCUGCCAAGCCGGAGUUCAAUUGCUGGGCGAGGCAGAAGGAGAAAACUGACUCCAGAAUGCUGUCCUCCGACCUCUGCACGUGUUCUAUGACGUACGUACACUUUCUGCUUGCUGCCCCGUCAAUAAAUAAAUGUAGCAUAAACAAUUUUCAGGUCAAUGCCAGCCUCUCUUCAUAAAGAAGCAAGAUCUUUUUUUUCAGUCCUCCAAGAAUGUAUAGAGCUUUGAGGAAACAUCCACUGUGUCCCCUCCCUUCUAUGACCUUCUGUGACACACUCUGGUGACCCAGCCUACGCUCACGGAGUCUCCCAAGGCUGUCAUUGUCCCCCAUCCUCAACGCAGCCUGAAUGUCUGGGUCCUGGAGUCACACAGACCUGGGCGGCCAUCGGCUGUGAGACUUUGGACACAGCCCUUGACAUCUUGAGAGCUAGCUCUCUCAUGGGAUCACCUCUGAAACCUCCGGCUUAUCUUCCUCACCAGCUCCUCCUGGGGAUGCCCGGUCCUGGGAGUAGACUACUGUGACCAUUUAGCCGCGCCCAGCAUAUGAUAGCAAGGUUGGGCAAGCUUCCAGGGAAGGGAGGCUUGAAGAAAAGCCUAGAGGAUGUGUCCUGGGAAGAGCACCCAGAGAAGGCUCGACUCUCCCGCUAUCACUUUUUCUAUUGUAGACCAUCUCCGAAGAAGGAGGCUGGAACUAUCUGUGCUCAGCGAGCCCUCAGACGGGCUGAAGGAACACAGAGAAGCUGACUGUGGCUUAUCACGGUGACGGGGCACAGACUAAACUCAGCAAGAUUAAAGACAAGGGUCAGAGUCCGGGAGACAAUGGGCCUAGGGCUGGGUUCACACGGCUUCAGCAUGAGACGCAAACUGCUGACAGCAGAAAGUGCCCCCAAGCCUUGGCAUCUGUGAUGUUUAGUGAGAGUUGGUCACGUGCGCAUGAACUCCGCCAAUCUUAGACACUGGGUCUCACCUGCAAUAGGGGCCCAGCUCAAAUACAAGGCCACAGGCCCUCAUGGUGUUUGUUCUGGGGGCUGGAAGGUUAUCUUCCAGGAGCCUAGGCAGGGACAUGGCUUCGCUGGGAAUGCUCAGGGUUUGGACAAUACAGACCUACUAAGUUAAGCCUUCACCGCAAACCCAAAGCCCCACCUACCAAGAGAAAAAGGGUCUCCCUCCCCGGGAGUCGGAACUGUAUAAGAUAACGUCUUGUGGUGGUGGGGAUACUGGGACAGACCAGCUGCUAUGAAAAAUGGCCAAGAGACCGCCACCGUGUGAGGAAGCUCCUACUAGGCAAUCAGAGAAACCAUGUGAGGCCUUAGACAGAUGAACGAAGACACCUCCUUGAACCUCCCAGCCCACUGUUCAGCAAAUGGCACCAACCAAAGCCCAUGGGACAGAAUAAAUAGCUAAGCUCACAGCAGCAGAGAGACUAAAACAUCCAACAACUUGCCAUUUGCAGCGGCUGUGAUACGGUUGAGUCCAUGGAAAUCAGCAACUGGUCCAUCUUCCUUUCCUGUUGGGAUUCUGCUUGUACGAGGCUUUGAUGUCUGGAGCUAUGGCAGCCUUCUUGGAACUAUGUGGAGGAUCAUGGCCCACACGUCAACCAGAGAAAACAAAAGAUGAGCAGAGGGCUGGGGGCUUGGUGACAAAUAGAACCUGGAAGCUUCUACUUCUAGAUUUCCAGUUCCUUAAGCCUCUGUUGACCAUUCCGUUCUUUGUGUCCCUGCCUGUCUGGGGUUCUACCUUGGUGCCCACUUCCCAUACCUGAGCCCCAGUUUCUCUUCUGAAAACACGGCGACAAUGACCCACCUCAGGAAGUAGCCAAGAACUUGGGAAAAGUCAAAUUUAGGGCCAGAAAUGAUGUCAGCGGGAAGAAAGCACGCUGUAACACUGAGCUGACAGUUGGAAAGAGAUGCCAACCGCCAAUGUGCCUCCUCAAAGACGCUGGAACCGAGACGUGUCUGCAGCAGGGUCCUUCAGAAAGAGCCUGGAAAUCCUGAGCUGAGACACCUGGAAAAGGCCUGUGAUCAACACUGAGUGGCAGAGCCCUUUCCCGGGAUCUUUGAGGCCCUGCUUCCAUCCUGAGCCCUGCAAGAAAAAAAAAAAAAUUAAAUUAUCAGUUAGGAGCCUAUCACCAUUUCUCCAUACAAGGACAACUACAUCUAAUGAAAAAAAAAAAAGGUAAAUACGGUUAGAAAGUAAGCACCUCCCCCUAAACCCAGGCUUGUCCCAUGCUUUUUAAAUAAAGUUUUAUUGGAACACAGCCACAGUGGUUCAUUUGCAUAUGGACUUUGGCUGUAUUGGCCUUGAGCCAGCUGUUAAGUUUCCUUGAGUCUUUUCUAUCAAAUGCUAUAAAACUUAUGUUUAGGACGAGGGAUUUAAGUCUUUUUACCUCACCUCUAACUUUGUGAGACUUUUAUAGUGACGGUUUUGGACUUUUGGUUUCUUUAAAAAACACAGAAAUAUUGUAAGAACAUGUUUUCAGUUUUAAUCCUGGGUGUGGGAGAUGGGGCCGCUUCAGACUGUCCCCCCAGCAGGUGACUGUGAUUUGCCUCAUGCUCUAGCAGGGGGGUGGUCUUGCCAGCUUCAGAUUGUGUGACGUUUGGAAUUCUGGGGAGUUUUUAAAGCGUACAAAGAUGCUAGGGUCCUAAAAGGUGAGUUGAUGAGUUGCUGGUCGUUGGUUGAAGUUUGUUUUUUGGUUUUAUUUUUUAAAGAUUUAUUUAUUUGUUUCACGCAUGUGGGUAUACUGUCACUGUCAAACACACCAAAAGAGGGCAUCAGAUCCCAUUACAGAUGGUUGUGAGCCACCAUGUGGUUGCUGGGAAUUGAACUCACAACUUCUGGAAGAGCAGUCAGGCAGUCAGUGCUCUUAACCACUGAGCCGUCUCUCCAGCCCCGGUUCAAGUUUGUUAAGUAGUCCCAUGCGAAGAAGAAACAAAUUAGAUAUCUUUUUUUUUUUUUUUUUUUUUUGGAGUUGGGGACUGAACCCAGGGCCUUGCGCUCGCUAGGCAAAUUAGAUAUCUUGACAGGGUUGAUCAAACUUGCCCCAAGGAACUCUAAACAGGACCCUAAACAACACGGGAGGUAGCCUAAGGAGUCAACCCCUUUCUGACCCCAGACUUUCUUCAGGGGCCUCUUUCCAUUCCUCUUUUCUUUGAAAGGGUGGAAGAAAAGGGGUGGAGAUGGAUGGAAGAAAGAAGAAGCCAUGAAGGAGCAAAAGCCAGGCAUAGAUUUUUAUGCAAGUGUCCCCAUCCCUGCCCCACCCAGGAAAACUUUUCUUUACACACAGGAUCACAGGAAUUUGGUGGCCUGGAGCAAUGACUUCUUUCUCCUUGGAACAGUGGUCCCCCUCCCCCUUCCUCCUUCUUUUCCCAUCUACGAAUUCUUUUCAGACUAUCCAAUCAAAUAAGACUGUGGACUCCAACCAAUGGGGAAAAGGACACAGUUACCACCUGAGUGUGAAUAAAAACCAAAUAUGUU
This is a non-coding RNA of Rattus norvegicus (Norway rat), 6989 nucleotides long. The record is from RefSeq and is a predicted model, not a curated record. Lineage: Eukaryota; Metazoa; Chordata; Mammalia; Rodentia; Muridae.